AGCGAACGCUGGCGGCAGGCCUAACACAUGCAAGUCGAGCGCCCCGCAAGGGGAGCGGCAGACGGGAGAGUAACACGUGGGAACGUACCCUUUGGUUCGGAACAACCCAGGGAAACUUGG
This 120-nucleotide ribosomal RNA is filed under the name uncultured bacterium. Its description in RNAcentral is "partial 16S ribosomal RNA". It matches the Rfam family "Bacterial small subunit ribosomal RNA", at positions 29 to 161 of the family's 1533-position model. The record is from RNAcentral.